RNAcentral lists this ribosomal RNA (263 nucleotides) under uncultured bacterium. RNAcentral describes it as "partial 16S ribosomal RNA". It matches the Rfam family "Bacterial small subunit ribosomal RNA", at positions 91 to 354 of the family's 1533-position model. The record is from RNAcentral.
CCUAGUGGCGGACGGGUGAGUAACGCGUGGGCAACCUGCCCCAUACCGGGGGAUAACAGCCGGAAACGGUUGCUAAUACCGCAUAAGCGCCAAAUGCCGCAUGGCAUGGGGCGGAAAACUCCGGUGGUAUGGGAUGGGCCCGCGUCUGAUUAGGCAGUUGGCGGGGCAGCGGCCCACCAAACCGACGAUCAGUAGCCGGCCUGAGAGGGCGGCCGGCCACAUUGGGACUGAGACACGGCCCAGACUCCUACGGAAGGCAGCAG